RNAcentral lists this transfer RNA (76 nucleotides) under Candidatus Omnitrophota bacterium. RNAcentral describes it as "Candidatus Omnitrophica bacterium tRNA-Lys". It matches the Rfam family "tRNA". Rfam says of the family: Transfer RNA (tRNA) molecules are approximately 80 nucleotides in length. Their secondary structure includes four short double-helical elements and three loops (D, anti-codon, and T loops). The record is from RNAcentral. Lineage: Bacteria; Pseudomonadati; Candidatus Omnitrophota.
GCCCGCAUAGCUCAAUUGGUAGAGCAGCACCCUCUUAAGGUGACGGUUUCAGGUUCGAUUCCUGAUGCGGGUACCA